Molecule: long non-coding RNA, 1230 nt
Filed under: Anas platyrhynchos platyrhynchos (common mallard)
Lineage: Eukaryota; Metazoa; Chordata; Aves; Anseriformes; Anatidae
Description: lncRNA (ENSAPLG00000018977.1)
Source: RNAcentral
GGAGCUGUUGUGUAAAUAACAGCGCCUCGCAGCCCUGUGCUGAUGGGUUUUUCACUCUCGAAUAUCCUUUCCAAAAUGUUAUAGGCAAAAUUCAGGAAUAAAACUGUCCCGGUCUCCAGCUCAUUGCACUCCAAGAACUUUUGGCUUGGGCAUGGGUUGGGCAGGGGGGGUUCUGAGGGGUGCAGGGAGGCUGGGUGCUGCAGUUUCUGGGGCUGCUUCGGGAUAUUCUGGGCUCUCGUCCUGCCUCUGCAGCCUUCCAGCCUGCCCGGUGACCCCAGGCAAGUCCCUUUGCUCCUCUGCGUUUCACUUUCCCAUCUGUAAGUCCUGGCAUGCCUUGGGGGGUGCUUCCAGAGAUGCCAAAAAGCCCCAUCUGACGUUAAAAUGCUCUCAUUGAUGGCAGGGGCUUGAAGCCUUGGAAGGCUCUUCCCAGAGCAGCGCAGCCCGCGCUGGACUCGGUCACGGGCAGAAUAUCCAGUGCCUGGCAGAGAUCUGCUGGUCUAAAUGUCUGCUGAAGGCCCUGAAAUUAUUGGUACAAAAUCCCUUUUUAUGGAUGCAUAAUUCUUCUGUGAUGCAGAGCUUCUGUCUGGAGAGGGGAGAGAUUAAAAAAAAAAAAAGAAUAUGAAGCAAUACCUACUGUGAAGGUCCAGUUUCUUGGUGAUUUGGUUUAUUUUCUUUUUUUUUUGCAUGUCUCUGAAGUAGCUGCUCGCAGCCACUAGAGGAGACUAGCCAGCCAAGGGGGGGACUUGGUGAAGAAAGGGACGCUUCAGAGCCACGCUCAGGGAUGUUGCCAGGGAUCCGGUGGGAAAGGGAAGGAAUUUGGAAGCAGGCAGGACCACGCUGGCAGCCUGUGCCGCACCAACAAAACCCGGUCACAUCGGCGUCAAACCGAGAGAGGACAGGAGUGCACGUGUCCUCACUGAGUCACACACAGAUGAUUUCAAAGAAGGUGGAGGAGGUUUGGGUUUUCCAGGUCCUGAGCAGCCGUGUGACCCCAGCCAGGAGCGGAUUGACCUCACGGAGCUCCCGCCGGGGUGGUUAUUCUGCUACUGACAGCCCCAGAGGGGGAGCUGUGAAGCUUGCUGAAAUUCAUCUCUGCAAAGAAUAACAGGAGCCGAUGACUACGGACCUGUCGGGUAGGGAAAACCCCAAAGGGUUGUCACUUCUGAGCUGGGAGGUGCUCCGUGCAGCGGGCUGGCUGGGUCACCCUGGUGCCGGUGAGUUGGGCAGCUG